This 406-nucleotide ribosomal RNA is filed under the name uncultured bacterium. Its description in RNAcentral is "partial 16S ribosomal RNA". It matches the Rfam family "Bacterial small subunit ribosomal RNA", at positions 30 to 526 of the family's 1533-position model. The record is from RNAcentral.
AUUGCACGCUGGCGUCAGGCUUAACACAUGCAAAUCGACCGAGCGGCGGACGGGUUAGUAAUGUCAGGGAAAGUGAGUGAUGGAGGGGGAUAACUACUGGAAACAGUCUCUAAUAGGGCCUAACAUCAGAUGUGACGCGAUGGGAUUAGAUAGUAGGUGGGGUCAUGUCUCACCUAGGCGACGAUCCCGCGCUGGUCUGAGAGGAUGACCAGCCAAACUGGAACUGAGACACGGUCCAGACUCCUACGGGAGGGAGCAGUGGUGAAUAGUGCACAAUGGGCGCAAGCCUGAUGAAGCCAUGCCGCGUGUGUUAAGAAGGCCUUCGUGUUGUAAAGCACUUUCAGCGAGGAGGCGUUACUCGCAGAAGAAGCACCGGCUAACUCCGUGCCAGCCGCCGCGGUAAUAC